UUGUAUCCCUAUGAACGUUUUAGAGUAAUAAAACAGUGUGUUUAGAUGAAAAAAGAAAACCCCCAACGCUAGCCUCUUGCCGCAAAAAAAUAAACAAAAAUGCCAGCCUCUUCCAUUGGUGUCUCCUCCUCGCUGGAGAACAGCGGCGGCAAACUUCUUCUCACUCUCGCCUCGCACUGUCUCCCCAAUCCGGCUGAGAGCCUCUUGCACACUGCUGACUCGCUCUCCUUUGCCUCAGCUAGCCGUCCUCCUGCCAUCGCUUAGCGGCGAGAACACCACGACGCCGCUCGCUCUUCUCCCGCCGACCUCAUCUCCUCCUAGAUCUCUGCAGAGCGCCUCCUGUUGGAUGACCUCGCGUGUGCGCCGCCCGCCGCUUCACACAUGAGCGCCGCCAUCUUGCUUCCGUUCUGGAGAGCCUCCCGACAGCCGCCGCUGGCCUCUCCAUUCUCCCCCGCGCCUGCCUGCCCUCCGCCUCGCCUUGCUUCCGCCCAAGGUAGUUAAUUGUAAGGGCGAUCUUGCACAGUUCUACCUGAUGCACUGCGUAAUCAAGUCUUUCCAGACUUGUUGAGCGCCUUUCCCCAGCUUCAGCCAAGUGUUGAUAUCAAAACGGUGCCAUCUCAACUCAUGGAUAUACUGCCACAAGUCCUGAAAAUCUACAGCCGACAGACCUAGCACAUUGAGGGGAACAUCAUACAUGGUGGGCUGACAACAUUCUGAAAAUUAAUACGCAAUUAUCCUGAUUCCCGAAGCAGAAUUGUUAGAGAUCAUACUGAAUUUUCAGCAACAACAUACAUGAGCUUCAGAGAGGAGAAGCAACAGAAAUGCUGCUUCAGACCAAACAAGGCAUGCUCUCUGUAUCUCUCCUCUUCUUUAAGGAUUCGUAGUAGCAAGGUUGAGCAAUAUCAGAAAUUCAGAAGCAUGAGAGACAGGGUGCAAUUAGUGUUGUAGGUUCAAUUCCGGUUUGCUAAUUAGGAUGCAACCAACUACAAUAGCAAAGUAAAAUAUGAGACGCGGGCAGGUUUUAAUUACUACAUUAACGCGGGACCACUAUUACCAAGAAUUGGAAGACGAUGGCCACUAGAGCAUGAUGAUGCAUUGCAGAGUAUGUGGACGACUGAAACAUGGCAAGAUUUGAAACAGGAUGAUUAAGAGCAGUGCUAAACUGAACCAAAAGCGUACAGUUGAUGAAUCCAUAUGCAAAGUCCACCAAGUUACCAAAGUAAUUUAAAUAAUCUUUAAAUAACACAAUCCAAAAUCAUCGAUCCACAGCAUAUAUAAGAUUAUAAGGUCAGUCCUAAUAGGAUAUAUAGCCAUAAGUAUCUUACAACUGAACUUGUGGUAGCUAAAUAGCUCCGAUACUGAACAUGUAGUUAUUGUUCAGCUAUUUGCAAUAUGAUAAAGGAUACAAAUGCUUCACAUCUCUUGUUUUCUCUUCUAUUAUAUGCUUUACAAAGGUUAGUCAGUAGGAGAUGCACUUGUUCUGUGGGUCUAAUUUUUGACUUCUAUAUAACUAUCAGUUUUAAACAUAUAUUGGAUGACUGAAACAUGUCAAGAUUUGGCCUCACUCUAAUUUCUACCCUUGGUGACAGACUGAAAGAACUGGAUCAUCAGCCUCCACGAUGAGACACACACAGCAAGGCAGACUCGGCCCUGCUUCAGCGAGUACAGGGGUUUGUCAACUGUCAGCGUCCGAGCUCAGACCGCUCAUCACACCUCCAACAAUGCUCAUGAACACCUCAUGCAUGAGAUCCAACGGAAGAAGGAAGACUUGUAUGAUGUGAUAGCCAAGCAAUAGUACGGCAACAGAGGUAUCUUUGGAAAGCUUUCGACGGCUGUAGGCAACAUUGGUUGGCUGGACGGACGUUCUUAUUCCUCCAGCGAACUCGGCAGCAACAUUGGACGUUCCGUCGAAAAUUGCAAUUUCGACGGGCUUUGAUGGAGCUUGAUUGAUGGAGAUUCCGGCCGAGUUCCUUUCCUUCUUAUAGGAGGCAACACAAAUCGGGGUCGGGCACUGAAUUGCUUGGAGUUGGAGAAGGACACGGACUGCAAUUUUCCAUCCAAAUCACGACAGAGAAGCACACCGAAGAUUGGGAAGGAUACAACGGAAGAGGCCGGAGGGGACUGGCAGCCGCGGACAGCAAGCGAGCGAGCGUACGAUGGCCGCCGUCGCCGUCGGGAUAGCUCGCUGCAGCGGCAUCCUCCUCAUCCUGAUUCUCUCCGUCGUGAUGGUCUGGGAGUCCGCGCUGGUCGUGAUGGCCUGGGAGUCCGCGCUGGUGGGGGAUAGGUGCGCCGUGGGCUCGCAGUCGCCGUGCGGUGCCGGGAUGCAUUGCGCCUCCUGCUCCCCGCUCGUCGGGGCUCCUGCUCCGCCACCUCGUCUGUCGUCGCCGGCACGGCCUCGGGGUCCCCCUGGUGGGCGACAGGUGCGCCGCGGGCUCGCAGUCACCAUGCGGCGCCGGCAUACGUUGCGCCUCCUGCUCCCCGUUGGCCGGGGCCCCUGCUCCGCCACCCGUCCACCCCGUUCGCCGCGGCGGCCUGCAACACUGCCGGUGUGACAGUGAGCGUCUGCAUAUACGAAGAAACAGAGGACACGCGAAAGGGCUUCUCUGUUUUAUUGAAUCGUUUUUUCAGAUACACUUACAUAAGGAGUGCGGGUUGAAUACCAAAAAAUAGAAGGGCUUUUCUGUAAAAGUGCCGCGACGACGUACGAGAUUAGGAAAAGAUUUUGACGAAAAUUUUGGUAUCCCAAAUUAGUACCACCUCGUUUAUAUUAUGAUUUUGUUUAUACAAAUCUUUCCCUAAUCCCUAAUAAUAAAGCAUGAAUUGACUCCGUGGAUUCACCGUCACAAUACGCUUCUUCCCAUGAUUUUACACUUUCAGUUUGAAUUUAAAACAUAUGCGCGAGGUGGUGCUAAAAUUGUUUCGUUUGUUG
This is a long non-coding RNA of Triticum aestivum (bread wheat), 2929 nucleotides long. RefSeq lists it as uncharacterized. The record is from RefSeq and is a predicted model, not a curated record. The transcript has 4 exons. NCBI's taxonomy places the organism in Eukaryota, Viridiplantae, Streptophyta, Magnoliopsida, Poales, Poaceae.